Molecule: unclassified non-coding RNA, 332 nt
Filed under: soil metagenome
Description: partial contains 5.8S ribosomal RNA, internal transcribed spacer 2, and large subunit ribosomal RNA
Rfam family: 5.8S ribosomal RNA (bases 1-120)
Source: RNAcentral
GAUGAAGAACGUAGCAAAAUGCGAUAAGUAAUGUGAAUUGCAGAAUUCAGUGAAUCAUCGAAUCUUUGAACGCACAUUGCGCCCGCCAGUAUUCUGGCGGGCAUGCCUGUUCGAGCGUCAUUUCAACCCUCAAGCACAGCUUGGCGUUGGGACUCGCGUUAAUUCGCGUUCCCCAAAUUGAUUGGCGGUCACGUCGAGCUUCCAUAGCGUAGUAGUAAAACCCUCGUUACUGGUAAUCGUCGCGGCCACGCCGUUAAACCCCAACUUCUGAAUGUUGACCUCGGAUCAGGUAGGAAUACCCGCUGAACUUAAGCAUAUCAAUAAGCGGAGGA